AUGAUUCACAGUAUUGUGACUGAAUCAGGGUCUUUCUGGAGCUGCAGAAACAGGAAAAAACAUCCAGAUAAAAACUGCAGGGGGACAAGCCAGAGGUCAAAGGACAGAAGCCUCCAACAUACCCGACAGUACAUGUCUAUAGUACAUACCCUACAGUACAUGUCUAUAGUACAUACCCUGAAGUACAUGUCUAUAGUACAUACCCUACAGUACAUGUCUAUAGUACAUACCCUACAGUACAUGGCUAUAGUACAUACCCGACAGUACAUGUCUAUAGUACAUACCCUACAGUACAUGUCUAUAGUACAUACCCUACAGUACAUGUCUAUAGUACAUACCCUGAAGUACAUGUCUAUAGUACAUACCCUGAAGUACAUGUCUAUAGUACAUACCCUACAGUACAUGUCUAUAGUACAUAACCUACAGUACAUGUCUAUAGUACAUACCCUACAGUACAUGUCUAUAGUACAUACCCUACAGUACAUGUCUAUAGUACAUACCCUGAAGUACAUGUCUAUAGUACAUACCCUACAGUACAUGUCUAUAGUACAUACCCUACAGUACAUGUCUAUAGUACAUACCCUACAGUACAUGUCUAUAGUACAUACCCUACAGUACAUGUCUAUAGUACAUACCCUACAGUACAUGUCUAUAGUACAUACCCUGAAGUACAUGUCUAUAGUACAUACCCUACAGUACAUGUCUAUAGUACAUACCCUGAAGUACAUGUCUAUAGUACAUACCCUACAGUACAUGUCUAUAGUACAUACCCUACAGUACAUGUCUAUAGUACAUACCCUACAGUACAUGUCUAUAGUACAUACCCUACAGUACAUGUCUAUAGUACAUACCCUACAGUACAUGUCUAUAGUACAUACCCUACAGUACAUGUCUAUAGUACAUACCCUGAAGUACAUGUCUAUAGUACAUACCCUACAGUACAUGUCUAUAGUACAUACCCUACAGUACAUGUCUAUAGUACAUACCCUACAGUACAUGUCUAUAGUACAUAACCUACAGUACAUGUCUAUAGUACAUACCCUACAGUACAUGUCUAUAGUACAUACCCUACAGUACAUGUCUAUAGUACAUACCCUGAAGUACAUGUCUAUAGUACAUACCCUACAGUACAUGUCUAUAGUACAUAACCUACAGUACAUGUCUAUAGUACAUACCCUACAGUACAUGUCUAUAGUACAUACCCUACAGUACAUGUCUAUAGUACAUACCCUGAAGUACAUGUCUAUAGUACAUACCCUACAGUACAUGUCCAUGGCUUGUACGCCUACAGUACAUGUCUAUAGUACAUACCCUGAAGUACAUGUCUAUAGUACAUACCCUACAGUACAUGUCUAUAGUACAUACCCUACAGUACAUGUCUAUAGUACAUACCCUGAAGUACAUGUCUAUUGUACAUACCCUACAGUACAUGUCUAUAGUACAUACCCUACAGUACAUGUCUAUAGUACAUACCCUACAGUACAUGUCUAUAGUACAUACCCUGAAGUACAUGUCUAUAGUACAUACCCUACAGUACAUGUCUAUAGUACAUACCCUGAAGUACAUGUCUAUAGUACAUACCCUGAAGUACAUGUCUAUAGUACAUACCCUACAGUACAUGUCUAUAGUACAUACCCUACAGUACAUGUCUAUAGUACAUACCCUACAGUACAUGUCUAUAGUACAUACCCUGAAGUACAUGUCUAUAGUACAUACCCUGAAGUACAUGUCUAUAGUACAUACCCUACAGUACAUGUCUAUAGUACAUACCCGACAGUACAUGUCUAUAGUACAUACCCUACAGUACAUGUCUAUAGUACAUACCCUACAGUACAUGUCUAUAGUACAUACCCUACAGUACAUGUCCAUGGCUUGUACGCCUACAGUUGGUUGAUAUGUGAAUAA
Oncorhynchus mykiss (rainbow trout) is the source of this 1905-nucleotide long non-coding RNA. The record is from Ensembl. Lineage: Eukaryota; Metazoa; Chordata; Actinopteri; Salmoniformes; Salmonidae.